Molecule: ribosomal RNA, 473 nt
Filed under: uncultured bacterium
Lineage: Bacteria
Description: bacterial SSU rRNA
Rfam family: Bacterial small subunit ribosomal RNA
Source: RNAcentral
AGAGUUUGAUCAUGGCUCAGGAUGAACGCUGGCGGCGUGCCUAACACAUGCAAGUCGAGCGAUCUUCUUCGGAAGAGAGCGGCGGACGGGUGAGUAACGCGUGGGUAACCUGCCCUGUACACACGGAUAACAUACCGAAAGGUAUGCUAAUACGAGAUAAUAUGCUUUUAUCGCAUGGUAGAAGUAUCAAAAGCUCCGGCGGUACAGGAUGGACCCGCGUCUGAUUAGCUAGUUGGUAAGGUAACGGCUUACCAAGGCGACGAUCAGUAGCCGACCUGAGAGGGUGAUCGGCCACAUUGGAACUGAGACACGGUCCAAACUCCUACGGGAGGCAGCAGUGGGGAAUAUUGCACAAUGGGCGAAAGCCUGAUGCAGCAACGCCGCGUGAGCGAUGAAGGCCUUCGGGUCGUAAAGCUCUGUCCUCAAGGAAGAUAAUGACGGUACUUGAGGAGGAAGCCCCGGCUAACUACGUG